AUCUACGGCCAUACCAAGCAAAAAGCACUGCAUCCCGUCCGAUCUGCAAAGUUAAGCUGCUUAGGGCCUCGUCAGUACUACGGUGGGGGACCACGUGGGAAUCCGAGGUGCCGUAGGUU
Molecule: ribosomal RNA, 119 nt
Filed under: archaeon
Lineage: Archaea
Source: RNAcentral